AGCACCUUGGCGCAGAGGAAGCGUGUGGGGCCCAUAACCCUAAGGUCCCUGGAUCGAAACCAGGAGGUGCUA
RNAcentral lists this transfer RNA (72 nucleotides) under Coemansia javaensis. It matches the Rfam family "tRNA". Rfam says of the family: Transfer RNA (tRNA) molecules are approximately 80 nucleotides in length. Their secondary structure includes four short double-helical elements and three loops (D, anti-codon, and T loops). Further hydrogen bonds mediate the characteristic L-shaped molecular structure. tRNAs have two regions of fundamental functional importance: the anti-codon, which is responsible for specific mRNA codon recognition, and the 3' end, to which the tRNAs corresponding amino acid is attached (by aminoacyl-tRNA synthetases). tRNAs cope with the degeneracy of the genetic code in two manners: having more than one tRNA (with a specific anti-codon) for a particular amino acid; and 'wobble' base-pairing, i.e. permitting non-standard base-pairing at the 3rd anti-codon position. Lineage: Eukaryota; Fungi; Kickxellomycota; Kickxellomycetes; Kickxellales; Kickxellaceae. The record is from Rfam by way of RNAcentral.